This 488-nucleotide ribosomal RNA is filed under the name uncultured bacterium. RNAcentral's name for it is "bacterial SSU rRNA". It matches the Rfam family "Bacterial small subunit ribosomal RNA", at positions 28 to 507 of the family's 1533-position model. The record is from RNAcentral.
GACGAACGCUGGCGGCAUGCCUAACACAUGCAAGUCGAACGGUAACGACGGAAGCUUGCUUCCGGGCGACGAGUGGCGGACGGGUGAGUAACACUUAGGAAUCUGCCCAGUAGUGGGGGACAACCAGGAGAAAUCCUGGCUAAUACCGCAUACGCACUACGGUGGAAAGUGGGGGACCUUCGGGCCUCACGCUAUUGGAUGAGCCUAAGUCGGAUUAGCUUGUUGGUGAGGUAAAGGCUCACCAAGGCGACGAUCCGUAGCUGGUCUGAGAGGACGAUCAGCCACACUGGGACUGAGACACGGCCCAGACUCCUACGGGAGGCAGCAGUGGGGAAUAUUGGACAAUGGGGGCAACCCUGAUCCAGCAAUGCCACGUGUGUGAAGAAGGCCUGCGGGUUGUAAAGCACUUUCAGUAGAGAAGAAAAGCCUAGGGUUAAUACCCCUGAGUCUUGACGUAACCUACAGAAGAAGCACCGGCUAACUCCGUG